AACGAACGUUGGCGGCGUGGAUUAGGCAUGCAAGUCGCACGAGCCUGCGCGGGGCAACCCGCGCAGGAAAGUGGCGAAAGGGGCAGUAAGGCGUGGGUAACCUGCCCCGGAGUUCGGAAUAGCCCCCCUAACGGGGGGGUAAUACCGAAUGCCGUCGCCGGGGGGCAUCCCCCGGGGACGAAAGCUCCGGCGCUCCGGGAGGGGCUCACGUGGUAUUAGCUAGUUGGUGCGGUGACGGCGCACCAAGGCCGAGAUGCCUAGCGGGUGUGAGAGCACGACCCGCGCCACUGGCACUGGGACACUGGCCAGACUCCUACGGGAGGCUGCAGUCGAGGAUCUUCGGCAAUGGGCGCAAGCCUGACCGAGCGACGCCGCGUGGGCGAUGAAGGCCUUCGGGUUGUAAAGCCCUGUCGCGGGGGGGGAAAACCGACCCCCCCCGGGAGGAAGCACGGGCUAAGUUCGUGCCAGCCGCCGCAGUAAAAC
This 483-nucleotide ribosomal RNA is filed under the name uncultured bacterium. Its description in RNAcentral is "partial 16S ribosomal RNA". It matches the Rfam family "Bacterial small subunit ribosomal RNA", at positions 28 to 526 of the family's 1533-position model. The record is from RNAcentral.